This 460-nucleotide ribosomal RNA is filed under the name uncultured bacterium. RNAcentral's name for it is "partial 16S ribosomal RNA". It matches the Rfam family "Bacterial small subunit ribosomal RNA", at positions 338 to 795 of the family's 1533-position model. The record is from RNAcentral.
CCUACGGGAGGCAGCAGUGAGGAAUAUUGGUCAAUGGCCGGAAGGCUGAACCAGCCAUGCCGCGUGAAGGUCAGUGCCCUAUGGGCGUUAAACUUCUUUUGUGCGGGAGCAAUAAUGGUCACGUGUGGCCAGACGAGAGUACCGUACGAAUAAGCAUCGGCUAACUCCGUGCCAGCAGCCGCGGUAAUACGGGGGAUGCAAGCGUUAUCCGGAUUUAUUGGGUUUAAAGGGUGCGUAGGCUGUGAGGUAAGUCAGCGGUGAAAUGCCCCCGCUCAACGGGGUGAAGUGCCAUUGAUACUGCCUGGCUGGAAUGCGGAUGCCGUGGGAGGAAUGUGUGGGGUAGCGGUGAAAUGCAUAGAGAUAACACAGAACACCGAUUGCGAAGGCAUCUCACGAAUCCGCGAUUGACGCUGAUGCACGAAAGCGUGGGUAUCAAACAGGAUUAGAUACCCGUGUAGUC